AGGAACUUUUGGAAACACAAGGCACAAAGGAAAAAAUACCUUCAUAUUUCUCCUUUUCCCAUCUCCCCAGAGACUUUUUUCUCCUUAUUUGUUGGCAUAUGUCUUUCCAUACUCUUCAAUGCAUAUAUAUUCACAGGAUAACAUUAUAUGUGGUAUUUUAGAACCACAUUUCUAACAUUCCAUUUAUCAUGUUUUGUAUUUGCAUAGUAUUCCAUUUCGUAGUUGUACCAUAAUAUCUUUAGACAAUGCUUGUGGUCAAAUAAUUUCCCCCAAUAUUUUACUGUUACAAAAAAUGUUUCGAUGAACAUUUUGGUCUAAAGUUGAUGGAUCAAGGAAUAUAGGGGUCAUUAUAAGUUAACAAAUACAGCGUCAGAUCAUGGUACUACUCUGCUGAAAAUCCCCCUUGGCUCCCAUCUUACUCAGAGCCAAAGCUAAGGUCUUUACCAUGACCUAAAAUACCCUCAGCCAUCCGGAGUGUGCAUGUAUGCAUACACACAGACAUGUACAUGCCACUCACUCCUGCCUCUCUAGCUCAUCUUCUCCUGCUCACCCCUGACUUGUUCCCCUGAAGCUAUUCCUGGAAUACACCAGGCAAGCAAGCCCCUGUGUCAGGGCCUUGGCACUUCUUCCUUCUGCCUAUAACAAUUCCUCCAAGUAUCCACAGGCUUCCUCUUUCACUUCCUUUGUUGCGUUGGCUCAGAUAUCGCCUUAUCUGAGUGCCCUUCCUUAACUAUACAAUACAAAAUAAGUUCAUGAAUCUGCCCUCACCCCUACAUUCCCUGUUUCCUUUACCUUGUUCUAUUUUUCUAUAACAUUUACCUGACAAAUCUUAUGUUUGUUUAUUGUCACUCUUCUUCCAGAAUGUAAGCACUGUGAAGUCAAGGACUUUGUUAGUUUUGAUCACUAUUGUAUCCAUGGGUUCUAAAGCACUGCCUGGCACAUAGUUGGCACUCAGUAAGCUAAGAAAUAAUAAGACUAACAUAUUGGGAUUGUGGCAAGGAGUUUCUGGUGAUGGCUGGUUAUGAAAACUUGAAGAAACAAAAUAAUGGCUUUUUUUAAGUGAAGAACUAAAAAAACAUUGAACUUCCAGGCCAGUUUUUGGAUAAAAGUCUAUAACCAGGGAGGGAAAUGGAAUACUGGAACAAAAAGCUGCCUGUGCUGAGACAGCAGUUGCUGAUACCACAAACACUUGUCUGCUGUUUCUGUGGCCUGGCUGAGCCAAGAAAACAUGUUAAAGCACAGAGCCCACGCAAGACAGUGUGCUUGCAGGAGACCCUACCAACAGGAAUCGGAUAACAAGGAGCUAAAGUAUUGGCUGGAGUUGGCGAUGACUCAGCAGAUCAAGGCUGGAAGACUCAUUCUCGUCAGGUGGUUGACGUUGGCUGUCAGUUGGAACCUCACCUGGGGCUGUUUGCCAGAACACCUACACAUGGCAUGUCCAUGGAGCUAUUUGACUUCCUCACUGCAAUGGCUGGGUUCCAAGAGCAGUUAUCCCAAGAGAACAAGGCAGAAGUGCAUGACUUUUAGAAUCUUGUCUCACAAGUCACACAGAGUCACUUCCACCAUCCCCUGUUGGUCAAGGAGGACAUGAAGGUCUUCCUAGGAGCACGGGGAGAAGACAGACUUCUACCACCUGUUGGAAGGAGUGUCAGUGUUACAUAGCAAGAGAAGCACAUGGAAUGGGAUGUAUUGUGAUGCCCAUCUUUGGAACAGACAAUUUGGCAUAUCUGUGAAAAUUAAAAGUCUGAUUUGGAUAUAACAAAUGAGACUGAUUAGCAAAGAUGUCUAAUUAUAAAAGUUAAAGUUAAAUUCCAAAUAUACUUUUUUUUUUUGCCAAAGACCAAAGACUAGGUUAUAGCCAAGGAAUUCUGGCUCCCUAUAUCCCUAGGCUUUUUUUAUUUUUAUUUUUAUUUCUUUUCUGAGAUGGAGUCUCGCUGUGUCACCCAGGUGCAGUGGCACUGUCUCGGCUCACUGCAACCUUCACCUCCUAGGUUCAUGCGAUUCUCCUGUCUCAGCCUCCUGAGUAGCUGGGAUUACAAGCGCACACCACCACACCUGGCUAAUUUUUUGUAUUUUUAGUAGAGAUGGGGUUUCACUAUGUUGCCCAGACUGGUCUUGAACUUCUGACCUCAUGAUCUGCCUGCCUUGGCCUCCCAAAGUGCUGGGAUUACAGGCGUGAGACACCGUACCCAGCCCCUAGGCUUUAUUUCUAAGGUUAUCAAUACCUUCUUCCCCUUGAUCCUUAUUUUUUAUGUGAUCAACAUAAUACAUGAGAUCAACCAGUUCAAG
This 2289-nucleotide long non-coding RNA is filed under the name Homo sapiens (human). Its description in RNAcentral is "non-protein coding LINC01176:12". The record is from RNAcentral. Lineage: Eukaryota; Metazoa; Chordata; Mammalia; Primates; Hominidae.